AAGUUGUUUCACAUGUGCUUUAAAUGUCGUGUAAACCACUAUGCAGUAGAACAAAUACUGUACAGUUUACAGAGAAUUAGAUCACAACAGAGUACACGGCAGCGGACAGCAGUAGACAUGGAGCUGGUUACUGCACAUAGAAAACACAGUCCAGCAGAGAGGGAUACUGGUGAUCAAUACAGGAGGUUAAAAAUGAAGAUGUCUGAUGAUACUUGCAUCAGUACAAAUGUGGAUGAGAAUAUCUAUGCUAAUAAAAUGGAUGAGGAUGUGUAUGCCAAUGCAGACAUCAUUAAGGCUAAUGAAGCCCCGAAAGGCACCUCCAGUCCCAUGGAACAGACAUCAAGGAGGUCUCAACAUUCAGGAUCUGAGCCUGCAGGGGCACGAUGGUACAGACUGGCCACAGUGUGUCUUGGGAUGCUGUGUUUGCUCCUGCUGUUGAUCAUCACAGUCAUUUCUGUUUACUGUAAGUUUGUUAGUUACACUUUAGUAUUGUGUCCAUUAGCUAUCUGACAGCAGAGAUUUCUGAUAUUAUAUUUGUGGUACUAUGUGUCCGAGAGCCUAUUACAGUCUAGAAUUACUGUCAAUAAUACAAAUUAAGUAAAGUCUUUGUAUGUUUUUUUCUGUUGUUGGUGGCUCUCAUGUGUUUACUUUUAUGCAGUUGCUACCUAACAGUACUCUCUGUUAGUUUUAUGAUUUAUGACAUGAUAUCAUAACUAUAUAAAUUACAUGGCAUGAAUUUGAGUCAUUUAAUGACUAAGUUCUACAUCUGCUUCAGAUAAAGGAGCUCUUCAUGAGGGGAAGGCCAACAUGUUAAAAGCAGAGAGAGAAGAGACUAAUUACAACACACUGAGGACAGAAAGGGACCAGCUACAGGCCAAUUACAGCACACUGACAAUAAAAUUUUCUCAACUAGAGGAAAAAGUUAGAUAUGCAGAAGGUGAACCAACUAUUUAAAUUAUUCAUAUUCACUUAACAGAACAAGGUGCUCAAUAUGGGGAAUCACACCUGUUGCUUGAGUGGUGCUUAAGUAAUUUAAAUAAAUAAAUAAUUGGUGAUCAGUGUUGACACACGACAGCACACAGUGCACAACAACAAAAGGUGUCCUCUGCAUUUAACCCAUAUAUGACAUCAUGACAUAGAGGGGGCAGCUAAUUCAGCACCAGAGGAGCAGUACCUUGCUCAGGGUACCUCAGUGGUAGCUUGCUGGUUGGGGAUUUGAAUCUUUCAAUUACAAGUGUGCUUCUCUAACCAUUAGGCCACCACUACAAUUUGGUCACAUUGUAGUUGAGGGGACAGAAAUAAUGGUAACAAUAGUAACACUUUACUUGACUAGGCAGAAAUAAAAUAACAUUAUGCUAUUAGUAACUAAGUUUUUGUUAUAUACUGAUCUCAUGUUAAUUCAUCAUUAAUGAAUUGUGACGAAUGCUUUAUGUCAAACAGUAUAUAUUUUUUGUAAUAUAUCUGUUCAUUCUUUAUACUUUUGUGAACUACUGAAGGGGUGCAGUACAGUAGGAGCAUGGAUAAACUGGCAGAUUCAGGGGGUCCACCACAUCACAUGGGCCCUUGAAUAAGCCUACAUGAAAUGAUAAAACUAACACAGAUGUCCUGUGGGUUGGAACAGUUUUAGUUUAAAAUGUUAUUACAUCUCUGAUAAAAAGAACAGUUGGGUCGACAGUCAGAAAGACUGUAGAGAGAGAGGAGCAGAUCUGGUGGUCAUAGACAGCAACGAGGAACAGAUUUUCAUCAGUCAAUUCCGGAGAGCCUGGAUUGGUCUCACAGACAGAGAACACGAAGGGAACUGGAAAUGGGUGGAUGGAACACGAAUUACCAUAAGUUACUGGGCACCAGGGGAGCCGAAUGAUUCUGGGAAAGAGGAGGAUUGUGCUGAGGCAUACACAGAACAUGACACAGUGAAGAACUGGAAUGACAAAUCUUGCUCUGUAAAGCUGCACUGGAUCUGUGAAGGGGUAGUGGGGGUAGUUAAUUAAGAUCAACUACAAAGAGAUAUAUAAUUGACUGGGGAUUUUUUUUAAACGUAAUAAUAAAGUUUCCGAAAUUUCCUGUCAUAAUAUGGCUGUUAUGAAUAUGCAGAGACAAUUUUUCUUGAUUUUUUUGGUACAUUUUUGGCUUGUGUAUUAGAAUGUAUUUUCAAGUAGUUACUGAUACAGUGUUAUGCAAAAGUUUGGUGGCAUGGUGGUGAAGUGGUUAGCACUGUUGCCUCACACCUCUGGGACCCAGGUUCGAGUCUCUGCCUGGGUCACAUGUGUGUGGAGUUUGCAUGUUCUCCCCAUGUCGUCGUGGGGUUUCCUCCGGGUACUCCGGGUUUCCCCCCACAGUCCAAAAACAUGCUGAGGCUAAUUGGAGUUGCUAAAUUGCCCGUAGGAGUGCAUGUGUGAGCGACUGGUGUGUGAGUUUGCCCUGCGAUGGGCUGGCCCCCCAUCCUGGGUUGUUCCCUGCCUCGUGCCCAUUGCUUCCAGGAUAGGCUCUGGACCCCCCACGACCCAGUAGGAUAAGCGGUUUGGAAAAUGGAUGGAUGGUUGUUUGGAUCAGCAAUUUCACUUACAGUAAAUAUAUAAUACAACAGACGAACACAGUGAUAUUUCAAAAGUAAAAUGAAGCUUAUAGGAUUUACAAAAAAUGUGCAAUAAUUAAACAAAAUUAGGCAGGUGUAUAAAUUUGGGCACCCCAACAAAAAAAUUACAUUAAUAUUUAGUAGAUCCUCCUUUUGCAGAAAUAACAGCCUCUAAACAGUACCUAUAGCUUCCAGUGAGAGUCUGGAUUCUGGCUGAAAGUAUUUUGGACCAUUCUUCCUUACAAAACAUCUCCAGUUCAGUCAGGUUUGAUGGUUUCUGAGCAUGGACAGCCCGCUUUAAAUAACACCACAGAUUUUCAAUAAUAUUCAGGUUUGAGGUCUGAGAUAGUCAUUUCAGAACGUUGUACUUGUUCUUCAAGAACUGGCUGGUCACAUUUCGAAUAUAUAAUUGCCCCCUUGACAGAUGCCAUUGUGAAGAGAUGUUAUUCACUUCACCUAUCAGUGGAUUUAUUGUUAUGGUGUGUUUAUAAUCUCACAGCUGUGUAUCAUUUUUGGUAAAUGUUUGGUAAAUUUGAAUGUAUUAAGUAGCAACACCAGUGAAUGAAACUGGAAAAAUUUUGAAUUUUUUGUGAGAAAUGUAACAAUAUCUAUAAAACUAAAAAGCGUAUUGUAUUUGUCAUGCCCACACAGGCUGGAACCACCGGGUGUGCGAGGUUAAGGGUAAUGAACGCAAGUACAAAUACAGCCAAGUCACACCAGCACAGCGUGAAGUAUUGAGCAGAUGUUUUCUAGCCUUGCUGAGCGUUAUGUUGUCUAUCGUCUCCCUUUUAUUCCCCGCCUACUCCAUUUACCUUGUGUUCACUCCUUACCUGCCUCCCUUUCCUUCUCCAGACCCGCUCCCGAUCCUGACCUGUCUUCCCAGCCGAGCCUGGCACGUCUCGUUCCCACUCCCCCGUGUGGUCUCGUCUCGUGCUUUUCUGUAGGACUGACUUCCCAGCUACCGACUUCUCUGCCCCUCCCUGGACCUCGCCUUUUGCCAAUCCCCACCUGUGCUUUUGCCUGGCUAGCGCCAAUAAACCUAGCACUGGUUUGCACCUCUGGAUCCUUGUCUUCCUGUCCUGGGUUACCUGACAGUAUUGGGGAAAAUUUACCCAAAAUACACUAUUACCAAA
RNA transcript from Brienomyrus brachyistius, 3705 nucleotides. It is a transcript of the gene named CD209 antigen-like protein A, with no coding region annotated. The transcript is spliced from 5 exons. The record is from RefSeq and is a predicted model, not a curated record. Lineage: Eukaryota; Metazoa; Chordata; Actinopteri; Osteoglossiformes; Mormyridae.